GGACUACACGGGUAUCUAAUCCUGUUUGCUCCCCACGCUUUCGUGCCUCAGUGUCAGUUACAGUCCAGAAAGCCGCCUUCGCCACUGGUGUUCCUCCUAAUAUCUACGCAUUUCACCGCUACACUAGGAAUUCCGCUUUCCUCUCCUGCACUCAAGCCAAACAGUUCGCAAGGCGAACAAUGGUUAAGCCAUUGCCUUAAACCCUGCGCUUAUCUGGCCACCUACGCACUCUUUACGCCCAAUAAUUCCGGAUAACGCUUGCCCCCUACGUAUUACCGCGGCUGCUGGCAC
RNAcentral lists this ribosomal RNA (291 nucleotides) under uncultured bacterium. RNAcentral describes it as "partial 16S ribosomal RNA". The record is from RNAcentral.